GAUGAACGCUGGCGGCGUGCCUAAUACAUGCCAGUCGAGCGAACAGACGAGGAGCUUGCUCCUCUGACGUUGCGGCGGACGGGUGAGUAACACGUGGAUAACCUACCUAUAAGACUGGGAUAACUUCGGGAAACCGGAGCUAAUACCGGAUAAUAUAUUGAACCGCAUGGUUCAAUAGUGAAAGACGGUUUUGCUGUCACUUAUAGAUGGAUCCGCGCCGCAUUAGCUAGUUGGUAAGGUAACGGCUUACCAAGGCAACGAUGCGUAGCCGACCUGAGAGGGUGAUCGGCCACACUGGAACUGAGACACGGUCCAGACUCCUACGGGAGGCAGCAGUAGGGAAUCUUCCGCAAUGGGCGAAAGCCUGACGGAGCAACGCCGCGUGAGUGAUGAAGGUCUUCGGAUCGUAAAACUCUGUUAUUAGGGAAGAACAAAUGUGUAAGUAACUAUGCACGUCUUGACGGUACCUAAUCAGAAAGCCACGGCUAACUACGUG
RNAcentral lists this ribosomal RNA (496 nucleotides) under uncultured bacterium. Its description in RNAcentral is "partial 16S ribosomal RNA". It matches the Rfam family "Bacterial small subunit ribosomal RNA", at positions 28 to 507 of the family's 1533-position model. The record is from RNAcentral.